Molecule: ribosomal RNA, 468 nt
Filed under: uncultured bacterium
Lineage: Bacteria
Description: partial 16S ribosomal RNA
Rfam family: Bacterial small subunit ribosomal RNA
Source: RNAcentral
GACGAACGCUGGCGGCGUGCUUAACACAUGCAAGUCGAACGGAAAGGUCCUGCUUUUGUGGGGUGCUCGAGUGGCGAACGGGUGAGUAACACGUGAGUAACCUGCCCUUGACUUUGGGAUAACUUCAGGAAACUGGGGCUAAUACCGGAUAGGAGCUCCUGCUGCAUGGUGGGGGUUGGAAAGUUUCGGCGGUUGGGGAUGGACUCGCGGCUUAUCAGCUUGUUGGUGGGGUAGUGGCUUGCCAAGGCUUUGACGGGUAGCCGGCCUGAGAGGGUGACCGGCCACAUUGGGACUGAGAUACGGCCCAGACUCCUACGGGAGGCAGCAGUGGGGAAUAUUGCACAAUGGGCGGAAGCCUGAUGCAGCAACGCCGCGUGCGGGAUGACAGCCUUCGGGUUGUAAACCGCUUUCGCCUGUGACGAAGCGUGAGUGACGGUAAUGGGUAAAGAAGCACCGGCUAACUACGUG